RNAcentral lists this transfer RNA (87 nucleotides) under Ignavibacteria bacterium RBG_16_36_9. RNAcentral's name for it is "tRNA-Leu". It matches the Rfam family "tRNA". Rfam says of the family: Transfer RNA (tRNA) molecules are approximately 80 nucleotides in length. Their secondary structure includes four short double-helical elements and three loops (D, anti-codon, and T loops). Further hydrogen bonds mediate the characteristic L-shaped molecular structure. tRNAs have two regions of fundamental functional importance: the anti-codon, which is responsible for specific mRNA codon recognition, and the 3' end, to which the tRNAs corresponding amino acid is attached (by aminoacyl-tRNA synthetases). tRNAs cope with the degeneracy of the genetic code in two manners: having more than one tRNA (with a specific anti-codon) for a particular amino acid; and 'wobble' base-pairing, i.e. permitting non-standard base-pairing at the 3rd anti-codon position. RNAcentral also lists the same sequence under 2 other names. Lineage: Bacteria; Pseudomonadati; Ignavibacteriota; Ignavibacteria. The record is from RNAcentral.
GCCCGGAUGGUGAAAUUGGUAUACACGCUAGCUUCAGGAGCUAGUCCACGCAAGUGGGUGGGGGUUCAAGUCCCCCUUCGGGCACAA